This is a long non-coding RNA of Manis javanica (Malayan pangolin), 1619 nucleotides long. RefSeq lists it as uncharacterized. The record is from RefSeq and is a predicted model, not a curated record. Lineage: Eukaryota; Metazoa; Chordata; Mammalia; Pholidota; Manidae.
AAACUGGAGGUCAUCAGAGAGGAAUGAGAGGGACUUUACAGAAUACUCCUGCCAAUCGUAGUUGCCAUGAUGCCAUGAAGUUCACAGACCUUAGCGAAUGGGGAAUUCUAUUAAAGUAAUUCAUAAAUCAGGGUGGGGACUUCUGAAUUGCCUUGCAAUUAUCAAGGAAAAUUCAGCACGAAAGUGAAAAUGCCUGGGCUGUGUGGGCCACUUCUCUGUGUUCUUUUCUGGGCCCCCACUUAUCUGGGGGUACACUUGGAAUUUCCAUUUCUGUGGGUGAGGUGCAUUUCUCUUUGACCCUUAAUUCUUCUUGCUGACAGGCUGAGUGGUAGUGGCUGCGCUCCCAGGCAGAAGAAUCAGAAGACAUGGUUUCACUUCUCUACUACUUUCUUGGCCCAUUAAUUCCUAUGUGACUUUGGCCAGAUCACUGGACCCCUUGAUUACCGUAUUUUAAAAAUGAUCAUCAUGUCUGUAAUAACAGACCAUUUUUUCUUUGCUGGAGUACAAGACAGUAGGAGUCAUGGCUUUAAAUAUUUUCUCAAUCUACAAGCAAAGUUUGACUUAGAAUUUGGACCCAAGGCUUUUUGAAAAAGAAGUCUCCUGGCAGCCUCUGAGGAAGACAGUAAUGAGAAUCUUUUAUGGAAGAACUUAAUCUAGAAGUAUUUAAACUGUGAAAAGAUGACAACAAAGGAAUGGACAGCAAUGGCUGAUCUGAGCUGUGUCUAUGAAUUAAUCAAGUGAACAGGAAAAAGGAUGCUAAGAUAUAUUGUAUGUGCUAUAUAAAUGUAUGUGCACAUGUUUGUUUAUAAAUAGUCUUGCACAUUCAUGCCUAAAAAAGGAUUCAUUCCUUCUGACAUUUUAUUGCAAGAAAUGUGAUUCUCUUAGUAAUUAUUUCUUAUCUUUUUAGACUAGCUGUUUUCUUCUUGAGUUGUUUUUUUUUCUACCAGACUUUGAAUGAACUUAUCCAUUUUCAGUUAAUAAAAUGUGAGCUUGAUGUUAUUAUAAUCUUGCCAGUGGUACAUGUUAUCACCCAAAGAAAACUAUUUGAAAAUCUUACCUACUCAUCUUCCAUCUACCUGGUGCCUGCAUUGUCCUCCAUUAGUCUCUCUUUUGGGUGAAGACUUCAGAAGUUUCUGGUAAAAUGCAAACAUGAAAAUAUAUUUACCCAUUAAUAAUGUAAUUUCAAGGGGUAUCUAGCAGCAGAAGAGUGGGACACAGAUCCAGUGAGUGUGGGACUACAGGCAGCUCAGUAGGUGGGGAUGUGGCCUGCUAGUUCGAGCUGCCCCUUUACCUUGGUGGGGAGGAGCGUUGGUGUAGGGCUCUGGUAUCACCUGGAGGACGGUUCCGACAGGGCAAGGCACUCGGGACAAGAUUCACCCUUCACAGUGUUACUGAGAAAGAUGGUAAACUGGAUAAGCAUGUUUAUUUGAGUUGUGGCUAGAGGAGGUAUGUCAUUUUAAACAAGAGCUUUGGACCCAUGAAAUUCCUUCUCCUUUGCUGAUUAGCUGCAUAACCUAGACAGUUACUUAAAAUUUCUGAAGCUUUUCUGGUUGUACUUAUUUUGCUGGGUUGCAAUGGUGGUUAAAGGGGGUAACCCUUACAAAGUACUUAGUAUAAUC